This 247-nucleotide ribosomal RNA is filed under the name uncultured bacterium. Its description in RNAcentral is "partial 16S ribosomal RNA". It matches the Rfam family "Bacterial small subunit ribosomal RNA", at positions 15 to 244 of the family's 1533-position model. The record is from RNAcentral.
GAUCCUGGCUCAGGACGAACGCUGGCGGCGUGCCUAAUACAUGCAAGUUGAACGCUUGAUUUUCACCGAAGCUUGCUUCACCGAAAAUCAAGAGUAGCGAACGGGUGAGUAACGCGUGGGUAACCUACCUAUCAGCGGGGGAUAACUAUUGGAAACGAUAGCUAAUACCGCAUAACAAUGUUGGAUGCAUAUUCGACAUUUGAAAGUACCAACUGGUACACUGAGAGAUGGACCCGCGUUGUAUUAG